This 72-nucleotide transfer RNA is filed under the name Bos taurus (domestic cattle). It matches the Rfam family "tRNA". Rfam says of the family: Transfer RNA (tRNA) molecules are approximately 80 nucleotides in length. Their secondary structure includes four short double-helical elements and three loops (D, anti-codon, and T loops). Further hydrogen bonds mediate the characteristic L-shaped molecular structure. tRNAs have two regions of fundamental functional importance: the anti-codon, which is responsible for specific mRNA codon recognition, and the 3' end, to which the tRNAs corresponding amino acid is attached (by aminoacyl-tRNA synthetases). tRNAs cope with the degeneracy of the genetic code in two manners: having more than one tRNA (with a specific anti-codon) for a particular amino acid; and 'wobble' base-pairing, i.e. permitting non-standard base-pairing at the 3rd anti-codon position. RNAcentral also lists the same sequence under 2 other names. The record is from Rfam by way of RNAcentral. Lineage: Eukaryota; Metazoa; Chordata; Mammalia; Artiodactyla; Bovidae.
UCCCCGGUGAUCCAGUGGUUAAGACACCAUGCUUCCAUUGAAGGGGCCCAGGUUCGAUCCCUGGCUGGGGAA